This 406-nucleotide ribosomal RNA is filed under the name uncultured bacterium. RNAcentral's name for it is "partial 16S ribosomal RNA". It matches the Rfam family "Bacterial small subunit ribosomal RNA", at positions 28 to 526 of the family's 1533-position model. The record is from RNAcentral.
GAUGAACGCUAGCUACAGGCUUAACACAUGCAAGUCGAGGGACCGGCGCACGGGUGAGUAACACGUAUCCAACCUGCCCUUUACUCGGGGAUAGACUUUCGAAAGAAAGAUUAAUACCAGAUGUAAAGGAUGGGGAUGCGUUCCAUUAGGUUGUUGGAGAGGUAACGGCUCACCAAGCAUUCGAUGGAUAGGGGUUCUGAUUGGAAGGUCCCCCACAGUGGAACGGAGACACGGUCCAAACUCCGACGGGAGGCAGCAGUGAGGAAUAUUGGUCAAUGGGCGUUAGCCUGAACCAGCCAAGUAGCUGGAAGGAUGAAGGCUUAUGGGUCGUAAACUUCUUUUAUAGAAGAAUAUGUAUUAUAUGAAUAAGGAUCGGCUAACUCCGUGCCAGCAGCCGCGGUAAUAC